UAAACCAGGAUUAGAUACCCUAUUAUAUUUAAACAAAUUGGGUAGUAUUAUUAAUAAAAACCUUUAUACUUUGGCGGCAUUUUAUCUUAUUAGAGGAAUAUGUUCAUUAAUCGAAACCACACGAUAGUUUUUACUUACUAUAAAAUUUUAUAUACCCCCGUCUAAAGAAUUUAUUUAAAAUUUUUAUUCCAAAUUAUAUUAAAAAAAGUUAGGUAAAGGUGUAGACUAUUAGUAAGAUUAAAUGUAUUACAUUAAAAAAAAAAUUUAAGGAUAAAACAGUUAACUGUUUAUUAAAAGAGGAUUUAUAAGUAAUUUACUUUUAAUAAAAAUUAAUGAAUAAGAAAAUAAAUGUGCACAUAUCGCCCGUCACUCUCACAUAUAAACCAGGAUUAGAUACCCUAUUAU
RNAcentral lists this ribosomal RNA (405 nucleotides) under Sancus acoreensis. RNAcentral's name for it is "partial 12S ribosomal RNA". The record is from RNAcentral. Lineage: Eukaryota; Metazoa; Arthropoda; Arachnida; Araneae; Tetragnathidae.